Molecule: ribosomal RNA, 456 nt
Filed under: uncultured organism
Description: bacterial SSU rRNA
Rfam family: Bacterial small subunit ribosomal RNA
Source: RNAcentral
GCGCAGCAGUCGAGAAUUUUUCUCAAUGGGCGAAAGCCUGAAGGAGCGACGCCGCGUGGGGGAUGAAUGGCUUCGGCCCGUAAACCCCUGUCAUUUGUGAACAAAUUGCUUCACCUAACACGUGAAGCAUUGAUUGUAACGGAAGAGGAAGGGACGGCUAACUCUGUGCCAGCAGCCGCGGUAAUACAGAGGUCCCAAGCGUUGUUCGGAUUCACUGGGCGUAAAAGGGUGCGUAGGCGGUUUGAUAAGUCUGAUGUGAAAUCCCGCAGCUUAACUGCGGAACUGCAUUGGAAACUGUUUGACUAGAGGAAUGGAGGGGAGACUGGAAUACUUGGUGUAGCAGUGAAAUGCGUAGAUAUCAAGUGGAACACCAGUGGCGAAGGCGAGUCUCUGGACAUUUCCUGACGCUGAGGUACGAAAGCCAGGGGAGCAAACGGGAUUAGAUACCCGUGUAGU